Molecule: ribosomal RNA, 545 nt
Filed under: Bullia sp. 607 LAG-2016
Lineage: Eukaryota; Metazoa; Mollusca; Gastropoda; Neogastropoda; Nassariidae
Description: partial 12S ribosomal RNA
Source: RNAcentral
CGCGGUUAAACCAAGAGAUUAAGUUAUAUUUUUAGGUAAAAAGACAGUUAGGUUUUGGUUAUUUAGUUUGUGAAUCUCCUAUAGAAAGGUAAAAUUUGAAUAUAGGGAGCUAAUUUAAAUAUAACUUUGAUUACUGAAGCUGUGAUAAUCUUGAGGGAAACUGGGAUUAGAUACCCCAUUAUUCUUGAUUGUAAAUUUAAUUAAAUUUACCAGAGUACUAUGAAUAUAAAAAAUUUAAAACUCAAAGGGCUUGGCGGUGUUUUAGACCUAUCAGGGGAACCUGUUUCGUAAUCGAUAGUCCACGUUAGACCUGACCUUAUUUUGUAUUUCAGUUUGUAUACCGUCGUCGUCAGGUAACUUUUAAAAAUUUAGAAGUUAGCAAAAAAAUUUUAAAUUAAAACGUCAGAUCAAGGUGCAGCUAAUAGUAAGGAGAGAAUGGGUUACAAUUAUUUGAAUUUAUAACUACGAAAAAUUUCAUGAAACUGUAAUUAGAAGGAGGACUUGAAAGUAAAAUAUAGUAUAUAAAUGAUUUGAAUACGGCUCUG